GAUGAACGCUGGCGGCGUGCCUAAUACAUGCAAGUCGAGCGAACGGACGAGAAGCUUGCUUCUCUGAUGUUAGCGGCGGACGGGUGAGUAACACGUGGAUAACCUACCUAUAAGACUGGGAUAACUUCGGGAAACCGGAGCUAAUACCGGAUAAUAUUUUGAACCGCAUGGUUCAAAAGUGAAAGACGGUCUUGCUGUCACUUAUAGAUGGAUCCGCGCUGCAUUAGCUAGUUGGUAAGGUAACGGCUUACCAAGGCAACGAUGCAUAGCCGACCUGAGAGGGUGAUCGGCCACACUGGAACUGAGACACGGUCCAGACUCCUACGGGAGGCAGCAGUAGGGAAUCUUCCGCAAUGGGCGAAAGCCUGACGGAGCAACGCCGCGUGAGUGAUGAAGGUCUUCGGAUCGUAAAACUCUGUUAUAAGGGAAGAACAUAUGUGUAAGUAACUGUGCACAUCUUGACGGUACCUAAUCAGAAAGCCACGGCUAACUACGUG
RNAcentral lists this ribosomal RNA (497 nucleotides) under uncultured bacterium. Its description in RNAcentral is "partial 16S ribosomal RNA". It matches the Rfam family "Bacterial small subunit ribosomal RNA", at positions 28 to 507 of the family's 1533-position model. The record is from RNAcentral.